UGGGGAAUUUUGGACAAUGGGCGCAAGCCUGAUCCAGCAAUGCCGCGUGCAGGAUGAAGGCCUUCGGGUUGUAAACUGCUUUUGUACGGAGCGAAAGGUCUGCCCUAAUACGGUGGGCUCAUGACGGUACCGUAAGAAUAAGCACCGGCUAACUACGUGCCAGCAGCCGCGGUAAUACGUAGGGUGCGAGCGUUAAUCGGAAUUACUGGGCGUAAAGCGUGCGCAGGCGGUUAUAUAAGACAGAUGUGAAAUCCCCGGGCUCAACCUGGGAACUGCCUUUGUGACUGCAUAGCUAGAGUACGGUAGAGGGGGAUGGAAUUCCGCGUGUAGCAGUGAAAUGCGUAGAUAUGCGGAGGAACACCGAUGGCGAAGGCAAUCCCCUGGGCCUGCACUGACGCUCAUGCACGAAAGCGUGGGGAGCAAACA
Molecule: ribosomal RNA, 426 nt
Filed under: uncultured bacterium
Lineage: Bacteria
Description: bacterial SSU rRNA
Rfam family: Bacterial small subunit ribosomal RNA
Source: RNAcentral